RNAcentral lists this ribosomal RNA (253 nucleotides) under uncultured bacterium. RNAcentral's name for it is "partial 16S ribosomal RNA". It matches the Rfam family "Bacterial small subunit ribosomal RNA", at positions 524 to 776 of the family's 1533-position model. The record is from RNAcentral.
UACGUAGGGGGCAAGCGUUAUCCGGAUUUACUGGGUGUAAAGGGAGUGUAGACGGAACGACAAGUCUGAAGUGAAAGCCCGCGGCUCAACCGCGGGACUGCUUUGGAAACUGCCGAUCUAGAGUACUGGAAGGGUAAGCGGAAUUCCUGGUGUAGCGGUGAAAUGCGUAGAUAUCAGGAGGAACACCGGUGGCGAAGGCGGCUUACUGGACAGCAACUGACGUUGAGGCUCGAAAGCGUGGGUAGCAAACAGG